Molecule: ribosomal RNA, 468 nt
Filed under: uncultured bacterium
Lineage: Bacteria
Description: partial 16S ribosomal RNA
Rfam family: Bacterial small subunit ribosomal RNA
Source: RNAcentral
GACGAACGCUGGCGGCGUGCUUAACACAUGCAAGUCGAACGGAAAGGCCCUGCUUUUGUGGGGUGCUCGAGUGGCGAACGGGUGAGUAACACGUGAGUAACCUGCCCUUGACUUUGGGAUAACUUCAGGAAACUGGGGCUAAUACCGGAUAGGAGCUCCGGCUGCAUGGUGGGGGUUGGAAAGUUUCGGCGGUUGGGGAUGGACUCGCGGCUGAUCAGCUUGUUGGUGGGGUAGUGGCUUACCAAGGCUUUGACGGGUAGCCGGCCUGAGAGGGUGACCGGCCACAUUGGGACUGAGAUACGGCCCAGACUCCUACGGGAGGCAGCAGUGGGGAAUAUUGCACAAUGGGCGGAAGCCUGAUGCAGCAACGCCGCGUGCGGGAUGACGGCCUUCGGGUUGUAAACCGCUUUCGCCUGUGACGAAGCGUGAGUGACGGUAAUGGGUAAAGAAGCACCGGCUAACUACGUG